UAAGGUUAAGUUAAUAAGGGCGCACGGUGGAUGCCUUGGCACUAGGAGCCGACGAAGGACGUGACAAACGACGAUAUGCCUUGGGUAGCUGUAAGUAAGCGAUGAUCCAGGGAUUUCCGAAUGGGGGAACCCAACAGGUAAUACCUGUUACCUACAUCUGUUAAGGAUGUGAGGAGGAAGACGCAGUGAACUGAAACAUCUAAGUAGCUGCAGGAAGAGAAAGCAAAAGCGAUUGCCUUAGUAGCGGCGAGCGAAACGGCAGAAGGGCAAACCGAAGAGUUUACUCUUCGGGGUUGUAGGACUGCAAUGUGGACUCAAAGAUUAUAGAAGAAUGAUUUGGGAAGAUCAGCCAAAGAGAGUAAUAGCCUCGUAUUUAAAAUAGUCUUUGUACUUAGCAGUAUCCUGAGUACGGCGGGACACGUGAAAUCCCGUCGGAAUCUGGGAGGACCAUCUCCCAACCCUAAAUACUCCAGUGACCGAUAGUGAACCAGUACCGUGAGGGAAAGGUGAAAAGCACCCCGGGAGGGGAGUGAAAUAGAACCUGAAACCGUGUGCCUACAACAAGUUCGAGCCCGUUAAUGGGUGAGAGCGUGCCUUUUGUAGAAUGAACCGGCGAGUUACGUUAUGAUGCGAGGUUAAGUUGAAGAGACGGAGCCGUAGGGAAACCGAGUCUGAAUAGGGCGCCUUAGUAUCAUGACGUAGACCCGAAACCAUGUGACCUACCCAUGAGCAGGUUGAAGGUGCGGUAAGACGCACUGGAGGACCGAACCAGGGCACGUUGAAAAGUGCUUGGAUGACUUGUGGGUAGCGGAGAAAUUCCAAACGAACUUGGAGAUAGCUGGUUCUCUCCGAAAUAGCUUUAGGGCUAGCGUCGACAUUAGAGAUUCUUGGAGGUAGAGCACUGUUUGGGUGAGGGGUCCAUCCCGGAUUACCAAUCUCAGAUAAACUCCGAAUGCCAAUGAAUUAUGGUCGGCAGUCAGACUGCGAGUGCU
RNAcentral lists this ribosomal RNA (992 nucleotides) under Haemophilus influenzae. RNAcentral's name for it is "bacterial LSU rRNA". It matches the Rfam family "Bacterial large subunit ribosomal RNA", at positions 1 to 999 of the family's 2925-position model. Lineage: Bacteria; Pseudomonadati; Pseudomonadota; Gammaproteobacteria; Pasteurellales; Pasteurellaceae. The record is from RNAcentral.